CCCAGACUCCUACGGGAGGCAGCAGUGGGGGAUAUUGCACAAUGGGGGGAACCCUGAUGCAGCGACGCCGCGUGGGUGAAGGAGCGUUUCGGCGCGUAAAGCCCUAUCGGCAGGGAAGAAGGAGGACGGUACCUGACUAAGAAGCCCCGGCUAACUACGUGCCAGCAGCCGCGGUAAUACGUAGGGGGCAAGCGUUAUCCGGAUUUACUGGGUGUAAAGGGGGCGCAGACGGCAGCGCAAGCCAGGAGUGAAAGCCCGGGGCCCAACCCCGGGACUGCUCUUGGAACUGCGCGGCUGGAGUGCAGGAGGGGCAGGCGGAAUUCCUGGUGUAGCGGUGAAAUGCGUAGAUAUCAGGAGGAACACCGGUGGCGAAGGCGGCCUGCUGGACUGCGACUGACGUUGAGGCCCGAAAGCGUGGGGAGCAAACAGGAUUAGAUACCCGGGUACG
Molecule: ribosomal RNA, 448 nt
Filed under: uncultured bacterium
Lineage: Bacteria
Description: partial 16S ribosomal RNA
Rfam family: Bacterial small subunit ribosomal RNA
Source: RNAcentral